AACCGUUCAGGGGUAAACCUGAGAAACCCAAAAGUUCGAAUGGAGAGAUUCAUCGUCAGCGAUCCUGGCAAUUGUGCGGUUCGCGAUGUCGGGGACUCCGGUCUCGCGGCACGCGUCCGUAUGAUUUAUUUGCCGGGCGUCGUCGUCGUGCACUUCUCCCCUAGUAGGACGUCGCGACCCGUUGGGUGUCGGUCUACGACCCGGGUGGGUGCCCGUCACGUGUUACGCUUCACGGCGUCAUGUGGCAGACCCCCGGUUGUCCGACCAGCUGCCCGGCGGUACUCGCACGGUAUUGAGCCGCAAUUUGAACUGCGUCCGGCCCGCCGCAAGCGAGGCCAGUGUUUCCCGGAUGUACGGACUUAGCGCCGUCACCGGGCCUGGCCAGCUGUUGGCUGGCGGUGUCCUGGGACUGGCUCUUAAAUAAAUACCGGUCGGCGACGCUACUGCUUUGGGUACUUUCAGGACCCGUCUUGAAACACGGACCAAGGAGUCUAACAUGUGCGCGAGUCAUUGGGAUCUAUUAAGCCUAAAGGCGCAAUGAAAGUGAAGGUAGGCCUUGCGCCAACCGAGGGAGGAUGGGCCGCGUCACGAUGCGGUCCCGCACUCCCGGGGCGUCUCGUUCUCAU
Molecule: ribosomal RNA, 626 nt
Filed under: Bathyplectes anurus
Lineage: Eukaryota; Metazoa; Arthropoda; Insecta; Hymenoptera; Ichneumonidae
Description: eukaryotic LSU rRNA
Rfam family: Eukaryotic large subunit ribosomal RNA
Source: RNAcentral